UGAUAGGCUUUCUUGAAAGCCAUCUUCUGAAUCUUCAAGAUGUCCU
Non-coding RNA from Amazona aestiva (blue-fronted amazon), 46 nucleotides. NCBI's taxonomy places the organism in Eukaryota, Metazoa, Chordata, Aves, Psittaciformes, Psittacidae. The record is from Rfam.